GCGAGUGGGCGGGCUCAGCUCAUGUGUUUCCGGAACUAAAGGGCACAAACUCUUCAAACACACGUGUGGAAGAAAACUGGCGCUGGUAGCUCUCCGCACUCUUCUGAUUCUCACCAAACGCAGUGUUUUAGUAAGAUUGUGGUCUACCAAGAAGACUUUUGAAGCUUUUAUUGGCAGGCAACCGCGAUUCAGCCAUAAAGCCUUUGUACCUCAGUCUUAUUAUUUGGUUCUGAUG
This is a long non-coding RNA of Boleophthalmus pectinirostris (great blue-spotted mudskipper), 235 nucleotides long. RefSeq lists it as uncharacterized. The record is from RefSeq and is a predicted model, not a curated record. The transcript is spliced from 3 exons. Lineage: Eukaryota; Metazoa; Chordata; Actinopteri; Gobiiformes; Gobiidae.